Molecule: unclassified non-coding RNA, 313 nt
Filed under: plant metagenome
Description: partial contains 5.8S ribosomal RNA, internal transcribed spacer 2, and large subunit ribosomal RNA
Rfam family: 5.8S ribosomal RNA (bases 1-105)
Source: RNAcentral
GAAAUGCGAUAAUUAAUGUGAAUUGCAGAAUUCAGUGAAUCAUCGAGUCUUUGAACGCACAUUGCGCCCCCUGGUAUUCCGGGGGGCAUGCCUGUCCGAGCGUCAUUGCUGCCCUCAAGCACGGCUUGUGUGUUGGGCUUCCGUCCCUGGCAACGGGGACGGGCCCAAAAGGCAGUGGCGGCACCAUGUCUGGUCCUCGAGCGUAUGGGGCUUUGUCACCCGCUCCCGUAGGUCCAGCUGGCAGCUAGCCUCGCAACCAAUCUUUUUAACCAGGUUGACCUCGGAUCAGGUAGGGAUACCCCUGAACUUAAGC